AGGGUUUGAUCCUGGCUCAGAUUGAACGCUGGCGGCAUGGCUAAAACAUGCAAGUCGAACGAUGAAAGCCCCUUCGGGGGUGCAUGAAGUGGCGAAAGGGCUAGGAAUACAUUCCUACGUACCUUGAGGUCGAGGAUAGCCCCGGGAAACUGGGAGUAAUACUCGAUGAUGUCUUCGGACCAAAGCCUUCGGGCGCCUUUAGAGCGGGGAAUGUCCUAUCAGGUUGUUGGUGAGGUAACGGCUCACCAAGCCUAAGACGGGUAGCGGGUGUGAGAGCAUGACCCGCAGCAUCGGGACUGAGACACUGCCCGGACUCCUACGGGAGGCUGCAGUAACGAAUAUUCCGCAAUGCGCGAAAGCGUGACGGAGCAAUGCCGCGUGUGGGAUGAAGCUUCUCGGAGUGUAAACCACUGUCAGGAUUCAGGAACACAAUGACCAGAUCCAAAGGAAGGGCCGGCUAACUUCGUGCCAGCAGCCGCGGUAAUACGAAGGGCCCGAGCGUUAAUCAGAAUCACUGGGCUUAAAGCGUGCGUAGGCGGACAUGAAGGCGCCUUGUGAAAUCCCUCGGCUCAACCGAGGAACUGCAGGGCGAACCAUGUGUCUUGAGACAGGUAGGGGUCGUCGGGACGGUAGGUGGAGUGGUGAAAUGCGUUGAUAUCUACCGGAACGCCGAAGGAGAAGUCAGGCGACUGGGCCUGUUCUGACGCUGAGGCGCGAAAGCGUGGGGAGCGAACGGGAUUAGAUACCCCGGUAGUCCACGCCGUAAACGAUGUGCACUAGGUUGGGGAGGUUUUGACGCCAUUCCUGGCCGAAGCAAAAGUGUUAAGUGCACCGCCUGGGGAGUACGGUCGCAAGGCUAAAACUCAAAGGAAUUGACGGGAGCUCACACAAGCGGUGGAGCAUGUGGCUUAUUUCGAUGCAACGCGAGAACCUUAUCCUGGUUGACAUGUAUGGAUUAACUCCCUGAAGGGAGCCACGCCUCUGUGGUGAACAUAACACAGGUGCUGCAUGGCCGUCGUCAGCUCGUGCCUGUGAAGGUGUCGGGAUAGUCCUAGCGAGCGCAACCCCUGUCGGUAGUUGCUAGCCAGUAUGCCUGAAGACUCUAGCGAACUGCCGUAUUACCGGACGAGUGGGAUGACGUCAGGUCGCAUGGCUUUUAAGCCGAGGGCU
Molecule: ribosomal RNA, 1170 nt
Filed under: uncultured bacterium
Lineage: Bacteria
Description: bacterial SSU rRNA
Rfam family: Bacterial small subunit ribosomal RNA
Source: RNAcentral